AGAAUCAACGCUGGCGGCGUGCCUAACACAUGCAAGUCGCACGAGAAAGGGUAGCAAUACCUGAGUACAGUGGCGCACGGGUGAGUAACACGUGAAUAAUCUACCUCCGAGUGGGGAAUAACUGAGAGAAAUCUUAGCUAAUACCGCAUAACACUUACGAGUCAAAGCAGCAAUGCGCUUGGAGAGGAGUUCGCGGCAGAUUAGUUAGUUGGCGGGGUAAUGGCCCACCAAGACGAUGAUCUGUAUCCGGCCUGAGAGGGCGCACGGACACACUGGAACUGAAACACGGUCCAGACUCCUACGGGAGGCAGCAGUGGGGAAUUUUGCGCAAUGGGGGAAACCCUGACGCAGCAACGCCGCGUGGAGGAUGGAAAUAUCUUGGUAUGUAAACUCCUUUCGAUGGGGAAGAUUAUGACGGUACCCAUAGAAGAAGCCCCGGCUAACUUCGCGCCAGCAGCCGCGGUAA
RNAcentral lists this ribosomal RNA (466 nucleotides) under uncultured bacterium. RNAcentral describes it as "SSU rRNA". It matches the Rfam family "Bacterial small subunit ribosomal RNA", at positions 26 to 523 of the family's 1533-position model. The record is from RNAcentral.